AAACCUGCCGCAUGCACGGGGGAUACCGGCUGGAAACAGCCGCUAAUACCGCAUAUGCGCACAGCGCCGCAUGGCGCAGUGCGGAAAGGGAGCAAUCCCGGCAUGCGAUGGGUCCGCGUCCGAUUAGCUUGUUGGCGGGGCAGCGGCCCACCAAGGCGACGAUCGGUAGCCGGCCUGAGAGGGCGGACGGCCACAUUGGGACUGAGACACGGCCCAGACUCCUACGGAAGGCAGCAG
Molecule: ribosomal RNA, 237 nt
Filed under: uncultured bacterium
Lineage: Bacteria
Description: partial 16S ribosomal RNA
Rfam family: Bacterial small subunit ribosomal RNA
Source: RNAcentral